RNAcentral lists this ribosomal RNA (1343 nucleotides) under uncultured bacterium. Its description in RNAcentral is "16S ribosomal RNA". It matches the Rfam family "Bacterial small subunit ribosomal RNA", at positions 28 to 1378 of the family's 1533-position model. The record is from RNAcentral.
GACGAACGCUGGCGGCGUGCUUAACACAUGCAAGUCGAACGGAAAGGCCCUGCUUUUGUGGGGUGCUCGAGUGGCGAACGGGUGAGUAACACGUGAGUAACCUGCCCUUGACUUUGGGAUAACUUCAGGAAACUGGGGCUAAUACCGGAUAGGAGCUCCUGCUGCAUGGUGGGGGUUGGAAAGUUUCGGCGGUUGGGGAUGGACUCGCGGCUUAUCAGCUUGUUGGUGGGGUAGUGGCUUACCAAGGCUUUGACGGGUAGCCGGCCUGAGAGGGUGACCGGCCACAUUGGGACUGAGAUACGGCCCAGACUCCUACGGGAGGCAGCAGUGGGGAAUAUUGCACAAUGGGCGGAAGCCUGAUGCAGCAACGCCGCGUGCGGGAUGACGGCCUUCGGGUUGUAAACCGCUUUCGCCUGUGACGAAGCGUGAGUGACGGUAAUGGGUAAAGAAGCACCGGCUAACUACGUGCCAGCAGCCGCGGUGAUACGUAGGGUGCGAGCGUUGUCCGGAUUUAUUGGGCGUAAAGGGCUCGUAGGUGGUUGAUCGCGUCGGAAGUGUAAUCUUGGGGCUUAACCCUGAGCGUGCUUUCGAUACGGGUUGACUUGAGGAAGGUAGGGGAGAAUGGAAUUCCUGGUGGAGCGGUGGAAUGCGCAGAUAUCAGGAGGAACACCAGUGGCGAAGGCGGUUCUCUGGGCCUUUCCUGACGCUGAGGAGCGAAAGCGUGGGGAGCGAACAGGCUUAGAUACCCUGGUAGUCCACGCUGUAAACGGUGGGUACUAGGUGUGGGGUCCACUCCACGGGUUCCGUGCCGUAGCUAACGCUUUAAGUACCCCGCCUGGGGAGUACGGCCGCAAGGCUAAAACUCAAAGGAAUUGACGGGGCCCCGCACAAGCGGCGGAGCAUGCGGAUUAAUUCGAUGCAACGCGUAGAACCUUACCUGGGUUUGACAUGGAUCGGGAGCGCUCAGAGAUGGGUGUGCCUCUUUUGGGGUCGGUUCACAGGUGGUGCAUGGCUGUCGUCAGCUCGUGUCGUGAGAUGUUGGGUUAAGUCCCGCAACGAGCGCAACCCUUGUUCACUGUUGCCAGCACGUUAUGGUGGGGACUCAGUGGAGACCGCCGGGGUCAACUCGGAGGAAGGUGGGGAUGACGUCAAGUCAUCAUGCCCCUUAUGUCCAGGGCUUCACGCAUGCUACAAUGGCCGGUACAGAGAGUGGCGAGCCUGUGAGGGUGAGCGAAUCUCGGAAAGCCGGUCUCAGUUCGGAUUGGGGUCUGCAACUCGACCUCAUGAAGUCGGAGUCGCUAGUAAUCGCAGAUCAGCAACGCUGCGGUGAAUACGUUCCCGGG